AGAGUUUGAUCAUGGCUCAGAUUGAACGCUGGCGGAAUGCUUUACACAUGCAAGUCGAACGGCAGCACGGACUUCGGUCUGGUGGCGAGUGGCGAACGGGUGAGUAAUAUAUCGGAACGUAUCCAAUAAUGGGGGAUAACUAAUCGAAAGGUUGGCUAAUACCGCAUACGCCCUACGGGGGAAAGCUAGGGACCUUCGGGCCUGGCGUUAAUGGAGCGGCCGAUAUCUGAUUAGCUAGUUGGUGAGGUAAAGGCUCACCAAGGCGACGAUCAGUAGCUGGUCUGAGAGGACGACCAGCCACACUGGAACUGAGACACGGUCCAGACUCCUACGGGAGGCAGCAGUGGGGAAUUUUGGACAAUGGGCGAAAGCCUGAUCCAGCCAUUCCGCGUGAGUGAAGAAGGCCUUCGGGUUGUAAAGCUCUUUCGCAAGGGAAGAAAGAUUACUCUCUAACAUAGAGUGAUUAUGACGGUACCUUGAUAAGAAGCACCGGCUAACUACGUGCCAGCAGCCGCGGUAAUACGUAGGGUGCGAGCGUUAAUCGGAAUUACUGGGCGUAAAGCGUGCGCAGGCGGUUUUGUAAGUCAGAUGUGAAAUCCCCGAGCUCAACUUGGGAACUGCGUUUGAAACUACAAGACUAGAAUAUGUCAGAGGGGGGUAGAAUUCCACGUGUAGCAGUGAAAUGCGUAGAGAUGUGGAGGAAUACCAAUGGCGAAGGCAGCCCCCUGGGAUAAUAUUGACGCUCAUGCACGAAAGCGUGGGGAGCAAACAGGAUUAGAUACCCCGGUAGUCC
RNAcentral lists this ribosomal RNA (793 nucleotides) under uncultured bacterium. Its description in RNAcentral is "bacterial SSU rRNA". It matches the Rfam family "Bacterial small subunit ribosomal RNA", at positions 8 to 796 of the family's 1533-position model. The record is from RNAcentral.